This 393-nucleotide ribosomal RNA is filed under the name uncultured bacterium. RNAcentral describes it as "bacterial SSU rRNA". It matches the Rfam family "Bacterial small subunit ribosomal RNA", at positions 29 to 417 of the family's 1533-position model. The record is from RNAcentral.
AUUGAACGCUGGCGGCAGGCCUAACACAUGCAAGUCGAACGGCAGCGGGGGGAAGCUUGCUUCCCCGCCGGCGAGUGGCGGACGGGUGAGUAAUGCCUGGGGAGCUGCCCAAUCGAGGGGGAUACCAGUUGGAAACGACUGCUAAUACCGCAUACGCCUCGAGGGGGAAAGAUGGGGAUCUUCGGACCUAUCGCGAUUGGAUGCACCCAGGUGGGAUUAGCUAGUUGGUGAGGUAACGGCUCACCAAGGCGACGAUCUCUAGCUGGUCUGAGAGGAUGACCAGCCACACUGGAACUGAGACACGGUCCAGACUCCUACGGGAGGCAGCAGUGGGGAAUUUUGGACAAUGGGCGAAAGCCUGAUCCAGCCAUUCCGCGUGAGUGAAGAAGGCCU